This 460-nucleotide ribosomal RNA is filed under the name uncultured bacterium. RNAcentral's name for it is "partial 16S ribosomal RNA". It matches the Rfam family "Bacterial small subunit ribosomal RNA", at positions 338 to 795 of the family's 1533-position model. The record is from RNAcentral.
CCUACGGGAGGCUGCAGUGAGGAAUAUUGGUCAAUGGACGGAAGUCUGAACCAGCCAUGCCGCGUGCAGGAAGACGGCUCUAUGAGUUGUAAACUGCUUUUGUACAAGGGUAAACCUGAAUACGUGUAUUCAGCUGAAAGUACUGUACGAAUAAGGAUCGGCUAACUCCGUGCCAGCAGCCGCGGUAAUACGGAGGAUCCAAGCGUUAUCCGGAUUUAUUGGGUUUAAAGGGUGCGUAGGCGGAUUGAUAAGUUAGAGGUGAAAUGGUCGAGCUUAACUCGGGGACUGCCUCUAAUACUGUUGAUCUAGAGAGUAGAUGCGGUAGGCGGAAUGUAUGGUGUAGCGGUGAAAUGCUUAGAGAUCAUACAGAACACCGAUUGCGAAGGCAGCUUACCAAUCUAUAUCUGACGUUGAGGCACGAAAGCGUGGGGAGCGAACAGGAUUAGAUACCCUUGUAGUC